RNAcentral lists this long non-coding RNA (251 nucleotides) under Elaeis guineensis (African oil palm). RNAcentral's name for it is "long non-coding RNA (EGUI_LNC024851)". The record is from RNAcentral. Lineage: Eukaryota; Viridiplantae; Streptophyta; Magnoliopsida; Arecales; Arecaceae.
GGUGAGAUUCUUAUUGCACAGGAUGAUAUUCCGAGCAGAUCUCAAAAUAAGAGGAGCACAAUAUAUGAUGGAGAUGGGAUCGAGUGGCUUGGCUCGACUUCCAUGUCUGUCUAUCCAUAAUCAGCAGGUGAUUGUCCCAGAACAUGGGGCUGAGAAGAACCAAAAGCUUUCAGAGUUAGAAAGUCAAAUAUUGAGUCGAGAUAGAGAUUGUUAGAUUUGAUGCCUCAAGAUUCAAUCCACACUGAGCCCAC